GAGUGGGGAGGAGAGAGGGACAGAGAGCCUGCUUGCUUUAAAGGAGCAAAGCAGGAGAGGAAAGGAGCUGCUUACACGAGUGUAAGCGGCUCCUGUCCGGUUGGCUCCUUUAAAGCAAGCAGGCUCUCUGUCCUCUCUCCUCCCCACUCAGC
This 152-nucleotide microRNA precursor is filed under the name Podarcis lilfordi (Lilford's wall lizard). Lineage: Eukaryota; Metazoa; Chordata; Lepidosauria; Squamata; Lacertidae. The record is from RNAcentral.